Non-coding RNA from Triticum urartu, 67 nucleotides. Lineage: Eukaryota; Viridiplantae; Streptophyta; Magnoliopsida; Poales; Poaceae. The record is from Rfam.
CCAUUGCUCAGUUGGUAGAGCACAAGACUCUUAACCUUGUGGACGUGGGUUCAAGCCCCAUGGUGGG